RNAcentral lists this ribosomal RNA (816 nucleotides) under uncultured Bacillota bacterium. RNAcentral describes it as "bacterial SSU rRNA". It matches the Rfam family "Bacterial small subunit ribosomal RNA", at positions 58 to 879 of the family's 1533-position model. The record is from RNAcentral. Lineage: Bacteria; Bacillati; Bacillota.
CAAGUCGAGCGAGAAAGGGGGAGCAAUCCCCUGAGUACAGCGGCGCACGGGUGAGUAACACGUGGGUAAUCUGCCCUGGAGUGGGGAAUAACACCGGGAAACCGGUGCUAAUACCGCAUACGAUCACAGAGUCUGCGGAUUUUGUGAUGAAAGGAGCAAUUCGCUCUAGGAGGAGCCCGCGGCUGAUUAGCUAGUUGGUGAGGUAAUGGCUCACCAAGGCAACGAUCAGUAUCCGGUCUGAGAGGACGGUCGGACACACUGGAACUGAGACACGGUCCAGACUCCUACGGGAGGCAGCAGUGGGGAAUUUUUGGCAAUGGGGGCAACCCUGACCAAGCAACGCCGCGUGGGUGAUGAAGUCUCUUGGGACGUAAAACCCUUUCGACGGGGACGAAACCGCAAGGUUGACGGUACCCGUAGAAGAAGCCCCGGCUAACUCCGUGCCAGCAGCCGCGGUAAUACGGGGGGGGCAAGCGUUGUUCGGAAUUACUGGGCGUAAAGGGCGCGUAGGCGGUUCGCUAAGUCGGAUGUGAAAACUCUGGGCUCAACCCAGAGCCUGCAUCCGAAACUGGCGGGCUAGAGUUCUGGAGGGGGUAGCGGAAUUCCUGGUGUAGCGGUGAAAUGCGUAGAUAUCAGGAGGAACACCGGUGGCGAAGGCGGCUACCUGGACAGAAACUGACGCUGAGGCGCGAAAGCUAGGGGAGCAAACAGGAUUAGAUACCCUGGUAGUCCUAGCCCUAAACGAUGGAUACUUGGUGUGACGGGGAUUGAAUCCCGUCGUGCCGAAGCUAACGCAUUAAGUAUCCCGCCUGGGGA